Molecule: transfer RNA, 64 nt
Filed under: chicken gut metagenome
Rfam family: tRNA
About the family: Transfer RNA (tRNA) molecules are approximately 80 nucleotides in length. Their secondary structure includes four short double-helical elements and three loops (D, anti-codon, and T loops).
Source: RNAcentral
UCCGUAGCCAAGUGGUAAGGCACUGGACUGCAACUCCAUGAGCACCGGUUCAAAUCCGGUCGGG